CCUACGGGGGGCAGCAGUGGGGAAUAUUGGACAAUGGGGGGAACCCUGAUCCAGCCAUGCCGCGUGUGUGAAGAAGGCCCUCGGGUUGUAAAGCACUUUCAGUGAGGAAGAACGCCUGGUGGUUAAUACCCAUCAGGAAAGACAUCACUCACAGAAGAAGCACCGGCUAACUCCGUGCCAGCAGCCGCGGUAAUACGGAGGGUGCGAGCGUUAAUCGGAAUUACUGGGCGUAAAGCGCGCGUAGGUGGCUUGAUAAGCCGGUUGUGAAAGCCCCGGGCUCAACCUGGGAACGGCAUCCGGAACUGUCAAGCUAGAGUGCAGGAGAGGAAGGUAGAAUUCCCGGUGUAGCGGUGAAAUGCGUAGAGAUCGGGAGGAAUACCAGUGGCGAAGGCGGCCUUCUGGACUGACACUGACACUGAGGUGCAAAAGCGUGGGUAGCAAACAGGAUUAGAUACCCCAGUAGUC
Molecule: ribosomal RNA, 465 nt
Filed under: Vreelandella stevensii
Lineage: Bacteria; Pseudomonadati; Pseudomonadota; Gammaproteobacteria; Oceanospirillales; Halomonadaceae
Description: partial 16S ribosomal RNA
Rfam family: Bacterial small subunit ribosomal RNA
Source: RNAcentral